Molecule: transfer RNA, 76 nt
Filed under: Armatimonadota bacterium
Lineage: Bacteria; Bacillati; Armatimonadota
Description: Armatimonadetes bacterium (anaerobic digester metagenome) tRNA-His
Rfam family: tRNA
About the family: Transfer RNA (tRNA) molecules are approximately 80 nucleotides in length.
Source: RNAcentral
GUGAGUGUCGCCUAGCGGCUAAGGCGCCAGACUGUGGAUCUGGAGAUCGGGGGUUCGAAUCCCCUCACUCACCCCA